UUUCCUUUGAACUGAGGGUGAGUGUUAGAGACGGAAACAGAAAAAUACCCAAAACGAACGAGUUUUGGCAUUAUAUUUUCAAAUUUCGGAGUGUUGAGAUGAGGAACAACUCAACAGCAAUGGCUGCUACUGGUGCCAGUUGCUGCUUAUUCGCCCUCUGGAGAGGUCAAUCAGGCCUUGAUGCCAACCCUCUUACUUUUCUACAAAGAAGGCAAAGAUACCGAUUGAGAAGUGCUUACAUGUUGGUGCUACAUUGCAAGCAAAUAGGGGUACUGCAAUCAACAUGGAUAUUAGAGGGGCAUACAAAUACAUUGUGUUGAAUUCACUGCUUUUCUUUCAAAUUUAACCACUUGCUAGACUCCUACACCGUUCUGCACAUUUCGCUGAUGGAAUAGA
This is a long non-coding RNA of Vigna umbellata (rice bean), 396 nucleotides long. RefSeq lists it as uncharacterized. The record is from RefSeq and is a predicted model, not a curated record. Lineage: Eukaryota; Viridiplantae; Streptophyta; Magnoliopsida; Fabales; Fabaceae.